GCUCAACCGGGGAGGGUCAUUGGAAACUGGGGAACUUGAGUGCAGAAGAGGAGAGUGGAAUUCCACGUGUAGCGGUGAAAUGCGUAGAGAUGUGGAGGAACACCAGUGGCGAAGGCGACUCUCUGGUCUGUAACUGACGCUGAGGCGCGAAAGCGUGGGGAGCGAACAGGAUUAGAUACCCUGGUAGUCCACGCCGUAAACGAUGAGUGCUAAGUGUUAGAGGGUUUCCGCCCUUUAGUGCUGCAGCAAACGCAUUAAGCACUCCGCCUGGGGAGUACGGUCGCAAGACUGAAACUCAAAGGAAUUGACGGGGGCCCGCACAAGCGGUGGAGCAUGUGGUUUAAUUCGAAGCAACGCGAAGAGCCUUACCAGGUCUUGACAUCCUCUGACAACCCUAGAGAUAGGGCUUCCCCUUCGGGGGCAGAGUGACAGGUGGUGCAUGGUUGUCGUCAGCUCGUGUCGUGAGAUGUUGGGUUAAGUCCCGCAACGAGCGCAACCCUUGAUCUUAGUUGCCAGCAUUCAGUUGGGCACUCUAACGUGACUGCCGGUGACAAACCGGAGGAAGGUGGGGAUGACGUCAAAUCAUCAUGCCCCUUAUGACCUGCGCUACACACGUGCUACAAUGGGCAGAACAAAG
Molecule: ribosomal RNA, 637 nt
Filed under: uncultured bacterium
Lineage: Bacteria
Description: bacterial SSU rRNA
Rfam family: Bacterial small subunit ribosomal RNA
Source: RNAcentral